AAGGCAUCGGCAAGGAGCCAAGGCGGGGUUGUGAAUAAGGCUCCAUCACAGUGAUUGGGUUAACGAGACGCUUGGGGCAAGGUGUGUAUUUGUGCUCUAAUUGCCUAAGAGAGAAGGUGGGGCAGGAAAUCUGGAUUUUUGCAGCUUCUCAGGAAUUCUGGAUUGGAAGACUAUGAGUCGGGCAACGAUUGUAGAAGCCUUCUAGAAGAGGAGCCGCAAGUGCCUCGAAUGUGGAUAACUGUAGCCACCAGACCAGAAAGGUUUUUCAUUCAGGGACGGUUCAAACGAGCAGAGAAAUUACGGAUGUGUGCGAGUGAGAGCGAGUGGUAGUCUCGACUGCUACCAAGAUGGAGAGGUCAGAUUGUAAAACUCUGUUCUUCACAACUCUUUGAUUGUAUUGAUAGAUUGCAAGGAAAAACCCGCUCUGUAGCCAUAGCGCCAUGGCUGUUGCGGGCUUCAAGCCUUGAGCAAUACAAGUUAAUUUUCUUGUA
Molecule: long non-coding RNA, 491 nt
Organism: Selaginella moellendorffii
Lineage: Eukaryota; Viridiplantae; Streptophyta; Lycopodiopsida; Selaginellales; Selaginellaceae
Exons: 2
Source: RefSeq, a predicted model, not a curated record